RNAcentral lists this ribosomal RNA (697 nucleotides) under uncultured bacterium. Its description in RNAcentral is "bacterial SSU rRNA". It matches the Rfam family "Bacterial small subunit ribosomal RNA", at positions 95 to 779 of the family's 1533-position model. The record is from RNAcentral.
GUGGCGGACGGGUGAGUAACACGUGGGUAACCUGCCCUUAAGUGGGGGAUAACAUUUGGAAACAGAUGCUAAUACCGCAUAGAUCCAAGAACCGCAUGGUUCUUGGCUGAAAGAUGGCGUAAGCUAUCGCUUUUGGAUGGACCCGCGGCGUAUUAGCUAGUUGGUGAGGUAAUGGCUCACCAAGGCGAUGAUACGUAGCCGAACUGAGAGGUUGAUCGGCCACAUUGGGACUGAGACACGGCCCAAACUCCUACGGGAGGCAGCAGUAGGGAAUCUUCCACAAUGGACGCAAGUCUGAUGGAGCAACGCCGCGUGAGUGAAGAAGGCUUUCGGGUCGUAAAACUCUGUUGUUGGAGAAGAAUGGUCGGCAGAGUAACUGUUGUCGGCGUGACGGUAUCCAACCAGAAAGCCACGGCUAACUACGUGCCAGCAGCCGCGGUAAUACGUAGGUGGCAAGCGUUAUCCGGAUUUAUUGGGCGUAAAGCGAGCGCAGGCGGUUUUUAAGUCUGAUGUGAAAGCCCUCGGCUUAACCGAGGAAGCGCAUCGGAAACUGGGAAACUUGAGUGCAGAAGAGGACAGUGGAACUCCAUGUGUAGCGGUGAAAUGCGUAGAUAUAUGGAAGAACACCAGUGGCGAAGGCGGCUGUCUGGUCUGUAACUGACGCUGAGGCUCGAAAGCAUGGGUAGCGAACAGGAUU